GCUGUGGAAAGAAAGGCCAUGGGAGUGGGGGACACUGGCGGUUCCACUGAGCCAACGUUAACUUUUACCUCUCCAGUCUCCUCCGUCUCUCUGUUUAUGGAUGGCAGGUUAAGAAGGUGGCCAGACUGUACAAUACUGGGCUUUGAGGAGGCUUUAUCUCCCACUAGAGUUUAGCUGAGGGAUUUAUGGGAAGCUGCCGCCUUGCGAGAUGCUUGGGUUUGGAAAGAAAUGACUUUGGAGGACUGUGUCUUAACACCCCCAGUGUCACGACCAGCACAGUAGCUUCAAAUGGGUUAUAGAGAAGUGAGAAGCGACGAGCAGACUGCAAGACCAAACAUGAGGUGUACACACCAAGGACCCCCUGUCCAAUCUCUUCUUUCUUAUUCAGAAUCUCUGCAUUGCUAAACUGGGUGAAUGCCUUCUGUCAGCAGCCAGCUUGUAAUGACUGCUCCUAGGUGAGAUCGAAUGAAGGGCAGCAAGGUGGUAUAAGGAAAGGACUGAGGAUUGUUGACCUCUGGUCCGGAGCCUUGGCCAUUCCAGCGUGUCUUGCUUGCCUGCCUGACUGUGCCUGAGGGGAGAAAAUGGAACUGACAUCUCUACCGAGGCCUCCCUGGUCAAAUGCAAUCAUGUUGACUGAAAGCUCCCAUUGUGUUCAGUUCUCUAAACAACGAUCCCCCUACCCAGAGAGUGCACUUUGGCCAGAGGAAGAUGUGAUGAAGAGUCAUCUGUACCAUUGCCGAACCAUUUCAACAUCUCAUUUAAAACUGCAAGGAGUGGAGGUUGGUUUUGAAUUAUGUAUUAAACUUAGCUUCCAAAUAUAGCCUUGGCUGAGAAUCUCAGCUAAAUGUCCACCAAACAUCAAUCCUACAAACCACAGCUCUCACUCCCUUAUUUGCUGUCCUGGUUGUCACUUCCUAUAACUUUUCACUGUUGACGCUGGCAUUCUAGUGCCCAAUAUCGAACCCUCAAUAUUAAACCACCUACAACCUCCUUGCUCUUCAUUCUGUGUCUUGAGUCAUGAAAAGCACCAAGAUCUCCCAUUUAAUGUCCUCAGAGUACAUGAAAUCUGUCUGCAAUUUUGACGAGAGCACAAAUUGUUACUCAUUGUCCAGUGGGGAACACUUAGCUCUACCAGCCUUUCUCCAGUAUCAAAGCCUCUAUUAUACUCUCACUAAUAAUCACUAAUGGAAGCGGUGGUGCUCACGGCAAUCUUCAGAUUCAUCAAGACCAGAGCCUGAAAGACUCCCCAGGGCCUGUGCUGCUGGUGCCAAGAGGAGGUCUUGGCGUCUGGAUCUCUCCGUUCACUCUAUUCUUCCUUCCAGCAAAAGCUUCCCAUUCUACCCCAUCCCCACUCCCCCCUUUUUUCCUUUCAUUUCUACAAUAGCUCAUCAUCAAAAUGCAAUUAAUAUCAAAUAAUAGUAGGUGACACUCCUGCAAUGUAUCCCCUCACACCCCAGCUCCGCUCCAGUCAGGUUUUCAGUCAUUUAGAGGAUCAUUUCAACUCCUGAAAAUGCGAUCAUGUUAGA
Molecule: long non-coding RNA, 1526 nt
Organism: Onychomys torridus (southern grasshopper mouse)
Lineage: Eukaryota; Metazoa; Chordata; Mammalia; Rodentia; Cricetidae
Exons: 3
Source: RefSeq, a predicted model, not a curated record